UACGAAGGGGGCUAGCGUUGUUCGGAAUCACUGGGCGUAAAGCGCGCGUAGGCGGGUCGUUAAGUCAGGGGUGAAAUCCCGAGGCUCAACCUCGGAACUGCCUUUGAUACUGGCGACCUGGAGUCCGGGAGAGGUGAGUGGAACUCCUAGUGUAGAGGUGAAAUUCGUAGAUAUUAGGAAGAACACCAGUGGCGAAGGCGGCUCACUGGCCCGGUACUGACGCUGAUGCGCGAAAGCGUGGGGAGCAAACAGGAUUAGAUACCCUGGUAGUCCACGCCGUAAACGAUGAGUGCUAGCCGUCAGCAAGCUUGCUUGUUGGUGGCGCAGCUAACGCAUUAAGCACUCCGCCUGGGGAGUACGGUCGCAAGAUUAAA
RNAcentral lists this ribosomal RNA (374 nucleotides) under uncultured bacterium. RNAcentral describes it as "bacterial SSU rRNA". It matches the Rfam family "Bacterial small subunit ribosomal RNA", at positions 524 to 898 of the family's 1533-position model. The record is from RNAcentral.